This 477-nucleotide ribosomal RNA is filed under the name uncultured organism. RNAcentral's name for it is "partial 16S ribosomal RNA". It matches the Rfam family "Bacterial small subunit ribosomal RNA", at positions 330 to 798 of the family's 1533-position model. The record is from RNAcentral.
CGUACACUCCUACGGGAGGCAGCAGUGGGGAAUAUUGCACAAUGGGCGCAAGCCUGAUGCAGCCAUGCCGCGUGUAUGAAGAAGGCCUUCGGGUUGUAAAGUACUUUCAGCGGGGAGGAAGGCGAUAAGGUUAAUAACCUUGUUGAUUGACGUUACCCGCAGAAGAAGCACCGGCUAACUCCGUGCCAGCAGCCGCGGUAAUACGGAGGGUGCAAGCGUUAAUCGGAAUUACUGGGCGUAAAGCGCACGCAGGCGGUCUGUCAAGUCGGAUGUGAAAUCCCCGGGCUCAACCUGGGAACUGCAUUCGAAACUGGCAGGCUAGAGUCUUGUAGAGGGGGGUAGAAUUCCAGGUGUAGCGGUGAAAUGCGUAGAGAUCUGGAGGAAUACCGGUGGCGAAGGCGGCCCCCUGGACAAAGACUGACGCUCAGGUGCGAAAGCGUGGGGAGCAAACAGGAUUAGAAACCCGGGUAGUCCCAU